RNAcentral lists this ribosomal RNA (468 nucleotides) under uncultured bacterium. Its description in RNAcentral is "partial 16S ribosomal RNA". It matches the Rfam family "Bacterial small subunit ribosomal RNA", at positions 28 to 507 of the family's 1533-position model. The record is from RNAcentral.
GACGAACGCUGGCGGCGUGCUUAACACAUGCAAGUCGAACGGAAAGGCCCUGCUUUUGUGGGGUGCCCGAGUGGCGAACGGGUGAGUAACACGUGAGUAACCUGCCCUUGACUUUGGGAUAACUUCAGGAAACUGGGGCUAAUGCCGGAUAGGAGCUCCUGCUGCAUGGUGGGGGUUGGAAAGUUUCGGCGGUUGGGGAUGGACUCGCGGCUUAUCAGCUUGUUGGUGGGGUAGUGGCUUACCAAGGCUUUGACGGGUAGCCGGCCUGAGAGGGUGACCGGCCACAUUGGGACUGAGAUACGGCCCAGACUCCUACGGGAGGCAGCAGUGGGGAAUAUUGCACAAUGGGCGGAAGCCUGAUGCAGCAACGCCGCGUGCGGGAUGACGGCCUUCGGGUUGUAAACCGCUUUCGCCUGUGACGAAGCGUGAGUGACGGUAAUGGGUAAAGAAGCACCGGCUAACUACGUG